RNAcentral lists this ribosomal RNA (253 nucleotides) under uncultured bacterium. RNAcentral's name for it is "partial 16S ribosomal RNA". It matches the Rfam family "Bacterial small subunit ribosomal RNA", at positions 524 to 776 of the family's 1533-position model. The record is from RNAcentral.
UACAGAGGGUGCAAGCGUUGUUCGGAAUUACUGGGCGUAAAGCGCGCGUAGGUGGCGAUGUAAGUCGGGUGUGAAAUCCCUCAGCUUAACUGAGGAAGUGCACUCGAUACUGUGUCGCUUGAGUGUUGGAGGGGAUGGCGGAAUUCCCGGUGUAGAGGUGAAAUUCGUAGAUAUCGGGAGGAACACCUGUGGCGAAGGCGGACAUCUGGACAACUACUGACACUGAGACGCGAAAGCGUGGGUAGCAAACAGG